CCUACGGGAGGCAGCAGUGGGGAAUUUUGGACAAUGGGCGAAAGCCUGAUCCAGCAAUGCCGCGUGAGUGAAGAAGGCCUUCGGGUUGUAAAGCUCUUUUGUCAGGGAAGAAACGGUGUGGGCUAAUAUCCUGCACUAAUGACGGUACCUGAAGGAUAAGCACCGGCUAACUACGUGCCAGCAGCCGCGGUAAUACGUAGGGUGCAAGCGUUAAUCGGAAUUACUGGGCGUAAAGCGUGCGCAGGCGGUUUUGUAAGUCUGUCGUGAAAUCCCCGGGCUCAACCUGGGAAUUGCGAUGGAGACUGCAAGGCUAGAAUCUGGCAGAGGAGGGUAGAAUUCCACGUGUAGCAGUGAAAUGCGUAGAGAUGUGGAGGAACACCGAUGGCGAAGGCAGCCCCCUGGGUCAAGAUUGACGCUCAUGCACGAAAGCGUGGGGAGCAAACAGGAUUAGAUACCCUGGUAGUCCACGCCCUAAACGAUGUCUACUAGUUGUCGGGUUUUAAUUAACUUGGUAACGCAGCUAACGCGUGAAGUAGACCGCCUGGGGAGUCGGUCGCAAGAUUAAAACUCAAAGGAAUUGACGGCUUGGNGAGNGCGAGACGACGACGAGGGAGAGG
This 617-nucleotide ribosomal RNA is filed under the name uncultured bacterium. Its description in RNAcentral is "bacterial SSU rRNA". It matches the Rfam family "Bacterial small subunit ribosomal RNA", at positions 338 to 950 of the family's 1533-position model. The record is from RNAcentral.